UACGAAGGGGGCUAGCGUUGCUCGGAAUUAUUGGGCGUAAAGGGUGCGUAGGCGGUUCCGCAAGUCCUGUGUGAAAUCUUCGGGCUCAACUCGAAGUCUGCACGGGAAACUGCGGGGCUUGAGUGUGGGAGAGGUGAGUGGAAUUCCCGGUGUAGCGGUGAAAUGCGUAGAGAUCCGGAGGAACACCCGUGGCGAAGGCGGCCCCCUGGGCCGCGCCUGACGCUGAGACGCGAAAGCGCGGGGAGCGAACGGG
RNAcentral lists this ribosomal RNA (253 nucleotides) under uncultured bacterium. RNAcentral describes it as "partial 16S ribosomal RNA". It matches the Rfam family "Bacterial small subunit ribosomal RNA", at positions 524 to 776 of the family's 1533-position model. The record is from RNAcentral.